GUCUUUUUUGUUUAAAAUUUAAAGUCUAACCUGCCCAAUGAUUGUUUUAAUGGCUGCGGUAUUUUGACCGUACAAAGGUAGCAUAAUCAUUAGUUUUUUAAUUGAAAACUUGUAUGAAUGGUUGAACGAGAAAAUUACUGUCUCAAUUUAAAUUUAUUAGAAUUUUAUUUUUAAGUUAAAAAGCUUAAAUUUGAGUAAAAGACGAGAAGACCCUAUAGAGUUUUAUAUAUAUCUAAAAUAAUUUUUAAGAAUUUAAUAAUUUAAAAUAUAUAUUUUAUUGGGGUGAUAAAUAAAUUUAAUUAACUUUAUUAUAUUUAAAUCAUUAAUUUAUGAUUAAUUGAUCCAAUUUUUUUGAUUAAAAGAUUAAAUUACCUUAGGGAUAACAGCGUUAUUUUUUUUGAGAGUUCUUAUCGAAAAAAAAGAUUGCGACCUCGAUGUUGGAUUAAAAUUAAUUUUUGGUGUAGAAGCUAAACUAUUAAGUCUGUUCGACUUUUAAUUUUUUACAUGAUCUGAGUUUAAAUCGGUGUGAGCCAGAUUGGUUUCUAUCUUUAUUUAAUUAAAAUAUUUUAGUACGAAAGGACCAAAUAUUUAUAAUAUUUAUUUAAUUUUGAAUAU
Molecule: ribosomal RNA, 615 nt
Filed under: Ochthebius crenulatus
Lineage: Eukaryota; Metazoa; Arthropoda; Insecta; Coleoptera; Hydraenidae
Description: partial 16S ribosomal RNA
Rfam family: Bacterial large subunit ribosomal RNA
Source: RNAcentral